This 468-nucleotide ribosomal RNA is filed under the name uncultured bacterium. RNAcentral's name for it is "partial 16S ribosomal RNA". It matches the Rfam family "Bacterial small subunit ribosomal RNA", at positions 28 to 507 of the family's 1533-position model. The record is from RNAcentral.
GACGAACGCUGGCGGCGUGCUUAACACAUGCAAGUCGAACGGAAAGGCCCUGCUUUCGUGGGGUGCUCGAGUGGCGAACGGGUGAGUAACACGUGAGUAACCUGCCCUUGACUUUGGGAUAACUUCAGGAAACUGGGGCUAAUACCGGAUAGGAGCUCCUGCUGCAUGGUGGGGGUUGGAAAGUUUCGGCGGGUGGGGAUGGACUCGCGGCUUAUCAGCUUGUUGGUGGGGUAGUGGCUUACCAAGGCUUUGACGGGUAGCCGGCCUGAGAGGGUGACCGGCCACAUUGGGACUGAGGUACGGCCCAGACUCCUACGGGAGGCAGCAGUGGGGAAUAUUGCACAAUGGGCGGAAGCCUGAUGCAGCAACGCCGCGUGCGGGAUGACGGCCUUCGGGGUGUAAACCGCUUUCGCCUGUGACGAAGCGUGAGUGACGGUAAUGGGUAAAGAAGCACCGGCUAACUACGUG